RNAcentral lists this ribosomal RNA (484 nucleotides) under uncultured bacterium. Its description in RNAcentral is "partial 16S ribosomal RNA". It matches the Rfam family "Bacterial small subunit ribosomal RNA", at positions 30 to 507 of the family's 1533-position model. The record is from RNAcentral.
AUUGAACGCUGGCGGCAGGCCUAACACAUGCAAGUCGAGCGGAUGAAGGGAGCUUGCUCCUGGAUUCAGCGGCGGACGGGUGAGUAAUGCCUAGGAAUCUGCCUGGUAGUGGGGGGUAACGUCCGGAAACGGGCGCUAAUACCGCAUACGUCCUGAGGGAGAAAGUGGGGGAUCUUCGGACCUCACGCUAUCACAUGAGCCUAGGUCGGAUUAGCUAGUUGGUGGGGUAAAGGCCUACCAAGGCGACGAUCCGUAACUGGUCUGAGAGGAUGAUCAGUCACACUGGAACUGAGACACGGUCCAGACUCCUACGGGAGGCAGCAGUGGGGAAUAUUGGACAAUGGGCGAAAGCCUGAUCCAGCCAUGCCGCGUGUGUGAAGAAGGUCUUCGGAUUGUAAAGCACUUUAAGUUGGGAGGAAGGGCAGUAAGUUAAUACCUUGCUGUUUUGACGUUACCAACAGAAUAAGCACCGGCUAACUUCGUG